AGAGUUUGAUCAUGGCUUAGGAUGAACGCUAGCUACAGGCUUAACACAUGCAAGUCGAGGGGCAGCAUGCAGGUAGCUUGCUAUCUGUGAUGGCGACCGGCGCACGGGUGAGUAACGCGUAUCCAACCUUCCCCAUAGUAGGGCAUAGCCCGUAGAAAUGCGGAUUAAUACCCUAUGUAUUCCGAGGAUGACAUCUGAUUCGGAACAAAGGUUCACCGCUAUGGGAUGGGGAUGCGUCUGAUUAGGCAGUCGGCGGGGUAACGGCCCACCGAGCCGACGAUCAGUAGGGGUUCUGAGAGGAAGGUCCCCCACAUUGGUACUGAGACACGGACCAAACUCC
RNAcentral lists this ribosomal RNA (340 nucleotides) under uncultured Prevotella sp. RNAcentral describes it as "bacterial SSU rRNA". It matches the Rfam family "Bacterial small subunit ribosomal RNA", at positions 8 to 339 of the family's 1533-position model. The record is from RNAcentral. Lineage: Bacteria; Pseudomonadati; Bacteroidota; Bacteroidia; Bacteroidales; Prevotellaceae.